Molecule: long non-coding RNA, 1268 nt
Organism: Camelus dromedarius (Arabian camel)
Lineage: Eukaryota; Metazoa; Chordata; Mammalia; Artiodactyla; Camelidae
Exons: 7
Source: RefSeq, a predicted model, not a curated record
GAUAACAAUUUCAGGUGCUUUUUCAAGCAUGUAGAAGUCAGCGUGGACACAGGAGGGCAUAGUCUUGGGCGCUGUGUAGAAGGUUAACUGACUUGGAAAUCUGUUUCCGAACUGUAGGAAUCAAAACGACUCUGAGUGUUCAUCUGUGAGGACAGGAUCAUGACCCACGGCAGAAAAACAGCCAAGUAGGUGUUUGCUCUUUCCAUUUGUCAUUGACUCACCUGUGGAUAUACAUCCAGCAUUCUGUGACUGCAGACACAGAACCCACAGUGGUAGCGGACUGGGGAGGGGAAGCUAAUCACAUCAGGUAGAAGAUGAUGCUUAACUUAGCAGCAGGAAAUUGCUUAACUGGAGUACCUUCUGAUGGCAAACUUAUUUCACAGACCUUUGUAGAGAAGGUUUUUCUUGCAAGCCAUUGACACCCAUUCUACACAAUUUGAUGCCCAUGAACAGACAGUGGCAACUACAUUAUGAGUGCUACCUGGCCAGUAGUGAUUAUGAUAUGCACCCAAUUUCAGACGUGCAAAAAGGAGAGAUGGAACUUACAAGGUCUUCUGGCCAAGGCAACUUGGACAUUGCAAUUUAGAGAAAGUUUGCCUGGCGCCAGAGUCAGAGCUCUUAACUGCGAGAUUUAAGGCUCUUCGCUCCAGGGAUCUCCUCAGAAGCUCAGCCUACUCCACUGCGAGGGAUGAAGCCCCUUAAUGAAACAAUUGGAGAUAAGGACCUGGGCUCCUCACACGCUGUCAGUAACUAUCUUUGAAGUUUAAAGGAGAAGCAUGAACCUUGUGAUCUCGGAGGAGCCGGUUCGCUUUGCAAUUUGAGCUGAUCAGUUCGAAGAAUAUAUCCGAGGCACCGAGGGAGGGGGAGUCUUGACCCAUUUCACAUUAUACACCCAACUUGAGUUUUAAGCAACUUCUGAGGCUUCAGCUAAGUCAAGAAACUUUUAGAGCUCCAGGACUCACAAAGUACAUGCGUAGUCCAGGAACAUUCAUCAUGUUAUCUUAUCUGAUAGUGACGUUUCCCCUUCUGUUCGCCAAAAUAAAAAAGUCAGUGCGUUUGGGUGAUGUGCCCUUGGCAUUGCAGUCUAAGGCAUCUCAGAGAAGUUCUCCUGGCCAAGUUGACAUGUGCUGUUGGAGUGUGAGAAGUCAGUUUUGUCUUUCAGCUCCCCAAAUUUCUAUCAACUGGAAGUGCAGCUGCUAUCUGAAAUCUGAAUUCUCAAUGUCCAUGGAGAUAAUGUGUCAACUUCUAAAAUUUAUAUUAGAGUUGCU